Molecule: long non-coding RNA, 898 nt
Filed under: Vigna radiata
Lineage: Eukaryota; Viridiplantae; Streptophyta; Magnoliopsida; Fabales; Fabaceae
Description: long non-coding RNA (VRAD_LNC014962)
Source: RNAcentral
GUAGCUUAAAUUAGUUUGGUUGGUCAUUGACGAUAUUGCACUAUUUCCUUGAGAUUCUUGAAUUGUGAUUGUAUGUGCACUCUGACUUGGUUAAUGUGAAUUCUAUUUUUGCAGUUGCAAUUGGGUAUACGCUUAGUUGCCUAGUUGGUGUUACCUCUUCACUUAGUUGAUAUAAUUGAAUGGUGCAAUUUGGAUUUGAUAUUAAAACUGCGUUCGCUUAGUUCGCUUUUAUGAAAACAGGGUUAACCUUCGCUUAGUUGGUUAACUUUGUUGGAUUAGAGGUUCGAGUCGCAACUUUAUUUUGUUGAUCUAUGAAUGGAAACAUUGUAAUUAAGUUAAUGACCAAUCGUUUUUAUUCUGUAUGUGAUUUCGUUUUGCAAUUCUGUUUUUACAUUUCUGUUGCAACCGUGUUUUAGUUUAGUUUAUCCGUAUUCACAAUCCUUUCACAACCCCCCCACUUCGUGUUUGACUUGAUUCUCGAACCGCAAAAUUGGUCCUUGAGAGACGACCUAGGAGUCAUUCCUAGCUAUAUUGCAUUUCUAAUAUGCAAUCAAACUUGUGUGGGCGGCGACACCCAUCAAAUUUUGGCGCCGUUGCUGGGGACCAACGGUUCAGUUUUUGGUCUUUUGUUGUGUUAGUGUGUGUUGUGUCUUGUCUUGUGUUGUGAGUGUGAUGUUCUGUUUUGUGUGUUCAUCAUUGUGUGUUGCAUUUAGGUAGCUUUAGUUGCAUAUUUUCAUUGCAUUAUUCUUUUCCCCCUCUUUUACAUGUCUACCUAUUUUGGUUAUGUGAGUAAUGCUUAUUCUGCGUGUGUCUAUGACUCUACUUCUGCAUUUGACUCUGAUAUUGCUUGUGUUGUAUACUCAGCUGAUGUCUAUGUUGUGAACAGUACGGUUCCUCC